GUCGAGGGGCAUCGGGGAGCGAAGCUUGCUUUGCUCCGCCGGCGACCGGCGCACGGGUGAGUAACGCGUAUGCAACCUGCCCGUUUCAGCGGGAUAACCCGGAGAAAUCCGGCCUAAUACCGCAUGUGGCCGAGGGAAGGCAUCUUCUUUCGGCCAAAGGAGGCGACUCCGGAGACGGAUGGGCAUGCGUGACAUUAGCUUGUUGGCGGGGUAACGGCCCACCAAGGCGACGAUGUCUAGGGGUUCUGAGAGGAAGGUCCCCCACACUGGUACUGAGACACGGACCAGACUCCUACGGGAGGCAGCAGUGAGGAAUAUUGGUCAAUGGGCGAGAGCCUGAACCAGCCAAGUCGCGUGAAGGAUGACGGCCCUACGGGUUGUAAACUUCUUUUGUCAGGGAGCAAUUGGGUCCACGCGUGGGCUUAGCGAGAGUACCUGAAGAAAAAGCAUCGGCUAACUCCGUGCCAGCAGCCGCGGUAAUACGGAGGAUGCGAGCGUUAUCCGGAUUUAUUGGGUUUAAAGGGUGCGUAGGCGGAAUAUCAAGUCAGCGGUAAAAAUUCGGGGCUCAACCCCGUCGUGCCGUUGAAACUGAUGUUCUUGAGUGGGCGAGAAGUAUGCGGAAUGCGUGGUGUAGCGGUGAAAUGCAUAGAUAUCACGCAGAACUCCGAUUGCGAAGGCAGCAUACCGGCGCCCAACUGACGCUGAAGCACGAAAGCGUGGGUAUCGAACAGGAUUAGAUACCCUGGUAGUCCACGCAGUAAACGAUGAAUGCUAAUUGUCCGGAGGGAUUGACCUCUGGGUGAUACAGCGAAAGCGUUAAGCAUUCCACCUGGGGAGUACGCCGGCAACGGUGAAACUCAAAGGAAUUGACGGGGGCC
RNAcentral lists this ribosomal RNA (878 nucleotides) under uncultured bacterium. RNAcentral's name for it is "bacterial SSU rRNA". It matches the Rfam family "Bacterial small subunit ribosomal RNA", at positions 61 to 921 of the family's 1533-position model. The record is from RNAcentral.